AUUAGUGUAGCAGAGCUCGGUUAUGCGAAAGUCCUAAGCCCUUUCAACCAGGGGUUCAAAUCCCCUCACUAAUU
Molecule: transfer RNA, 74 nt
Filed under: Buergeria buergeri (Buerger's frog)
Lineage: Eukaryota; Metazoa; Chordata; Amphibia; Anura; Rhacophoridae
Description: tRNA-Leu(UUR)
Rfam family: tRNA
About the family: Transfer RNA (tRNA) molecules are approximately 80 nucleotides in length. Their secondary structure includes four short double-helical elements and three loops (D, anti-codon, and T loops). Further hydrogen bonds mediate the characteristic L-shaped molecular structure. tRNAs have two regions of fundamental functional importance: the anti-codon, which is responsible for specific mRNA codon recognition, and the 3' end, to which the tRNAs corresponding amino acid is attached (by aminoacyl-tRNA synthetases). tRNAs cope with the degeneracy of the genetic code in two manners: having more than one tRNA (with a specific anti-codon) for a particular amino acid; and 'wobble' base-pairing, i.e. permitting non-standard base-pairing at the 3rd anti-codon position.
Source: RNAcentral